UACGAAGGGUGCAAACGUUGUUCGGAAUUACUGGGCGUAAAGGGCUCGUAGGCGGCCAACUAAGUCAGACGUGAAAUCCCUCAGCUUAACUGGGGAACUGCGUCUGAUACUGGAUGGCUUGGAUCCGGAAGAGGGAUACGGAAUUCCAGGUGUAGCGGUGAAAUGCGUAGAUAUCUGGAGGAACACCGGUGGCGAAGGCGGCAUCCUGGGCCGGUAUUGACGCUGAGGAGCGAAAGCCAGGGGAGCAAACGGG
This 253-nucleotide ribosomal RNA is filed under the name uncultured bacterium. Its description in RNAcentral is "partial 16S ribosomal RNA". It matches the Rfam family "Bacterial small subunit ribosomal RNA", at positions 524 to 776 of the family's 1533-position model. The record is from RNAcentral.